RNAcentral lists this ribosomal RNA (851 nucleotides) under uncultured archaeon. RNAcentral describes it as "bacterial SSU rRNA". It matches the Rfam family "Archaeal small subunit ribosomal RNA", at positions 48 to 898 of the family's 1478-position model. The record is from RNAcentral.
GCCAUGCGAGUCUAAAGGCUUCUUCGGAAGCCUUGGCGGACUGCUCAGUAACACGUGGAUAACCUGCCCUUGGGACUGGCAUAACCCCGGGAAACUGGGGAUAAUACCAGAUAGAUCAGGGAUGCUGGAAUGCACCUUGAUUCAAAGCUCCGGCGCCCAAGGAUGGAUCUGCGACCUAUCAGGUUGUAGUGGGCGUAACGUACCUACUAGCCGACGACGGGUACGGGUUGUGAGAGCAAGAGCCCGGAGAUGGAUUCUGAGACACGAAUCCAGGCCCUACGGGGUGCAGCAGGCGCGAAACCUUUACAAUGUGCGAAAGCAUGAUAAGGGAACUCCGAGUGCCAGUAUCUAAUGCUGGCUGUCCUUGUGCCUAAAACGCACAAGAUAGCAAGGGCCGGGUAAGACCGGUGCCAGCCGCCGCGGUAACACCGGCGGCCCGAGUGGUAGCCACUAUUAUUGGGUCUAAAGGGUCCGUAGCCGGUUCGGUAAGUCCUCUGGGAAAUCUGGUUGCUCAACAAUCAGACUGCCAAGGGAUACUGUCGAACUUGAGACCGGGAGAGGUAAGAGGUACUUCAGGGGUAGGAGUGAAAUCUUGUAAUCCCUGGGGGACCAUCUGUGGCGAAGGCGUCUUACCAGAACGGGUCUGACGGUGAGGGACGAAAGCUGGGGGCGCGAACCGGAUUAGAUACCCGGGUAGUCCCAGCCGUAAACGAUGCUCGCUAUGUGUCAGGUACGGUGCGACCGUAUCUGGUGCCGUAGGGAAGCUGUGAAGCGAGCCACCUGGGAAGUACGGCCGCAAGGCUGAAACUUAAAGGAAUUGGCGGGGGAGCACUACAACGGGUGGAGCCUGC